RNAcentral lists this ribosomal RNA (440 nucleotides) under uncultured bacterium. RNAcentral describes it as "partial 16S ribosomal RNA". It matches the Rfam family "Bacterial small subunit ribosomal RNA", at positions 339 to 795 of the family's 1533-position model. The record is from RNAcentral.
CUACGGGGUGCAGCAGUGAGGAAUAUUGCACAAUGGGGGCAACCCUGAUGCAGCAACGCCGCGUGGAGGAUGACGCAUUUCGGUGUGUAAACUCCUUUUAUCAGAGAAGAACCAUGACGGUAUCUGAUGAAUAAGCUCCGGCUAACUCCGUGCCAGCAGCCGCGGUAAUACGGAGGGAGCAAGCGUUAUUCGGAAUCACUGGGCGUAAAGGACGCGUAGGCCGGUCUGUAAGUCAGGUGUGAAAUGCAAUGGCUCAACCAUUGAACUGCACUUGAAACUGCGGACCUAGAGUAUGGAAGGGGCAGAUGGAAUUAGUGGUGUAGGGGUAACAUCCGUAGAUAUCACUAGGAAUACCGAAAGCGAAGGCGAUCUGCUGGGACAUAACUGACGCUGAGGCGUGAAAGCGUGGGGAGCAAACAGGAUUAGAUACCCUAGUAGUC